GGAUUAGUGGCGAACGNGGGUGAUCUGCCCUGCACUCUGGGAUAAGCCCUGGGAAACUGGGUCUAAUACCGGAUAUGACCUCNNGAUGCAUGUUCNGGGGUGGAAAGUUUUUCGGUGCAGGAUGAGCCCGCGGCCUAUCAGCUUGUUGGUGGGGUAAUGGCCUACCAAGGCGACGACGGGUAGCCGGCCUGAGAGGGCGACCGGCCACACUGGGACUGAGACACGGCCCAGACUCCUACGGGAGGCAGCAGUGGGGAAUAUUGCACAAUGGGCGCAAGCCUGAUGCAGCGACGCCGCGUGAGGGAUGACGGCCUUCGGGUUGUAAACCUCUUUCACCCAUGACGAAGCGCAAGUGACGGUAGUGGGGAGAAGAAGCACCGGCCAACUACNUGCCAGCAGCCGCGUUAAUACNUAGGGUUGCGAGCCGUUGUCCGGAAUUNCUGGGCGUUAAAGAGCUCGUAGGCGGGUUGUCGCGUUCGUCNGUNAAAAUCCCGCAGCUCAACUGCGGGNUUGCAGGGCGAUACGGGCAGACUCGAGUACUGCAGGGGAGACUGGAANUCCUGGUGUAGCGGUGAAA
This 577-nucleotide ribosomal RNA is filed under the name Rhodococcus sp. D6-28. Its description in RNAcentral is "bacterial SSU rRNA". It matches the Rfam family "Bacterial small subunit ribosomal RNA", at positions 100 to 686 of the family's 1533-position model. Lineage: Bacteria; Bacillati; Actinomycetota; Actinomycetes; Mycobacteriales; Nocardiaceae. The record is from RNAcentral.